This 667-nucleotide long non-coding RNA is filed under the name Homo sapiens (human). Its description in RNAcentral is "non-protein coding lnc-GCLM-6:1". Lineage: Eukaryota; Metazoa; Chordata; Mammalia; Primates; Hominidae. The record is from RNAcentral.
AGUGAACAAAAAUUUAUUCACUUCUUUCACUACCCCUACAAUAACAGGACUACCUAUUGUUAUUCUAAUCAUUUCAUUUCUAAAUAUCAUGUUUCCUGCCCCCAAUCACCUAAUCAAUAAUCUAUUGAACAGUCUCUGUUCAACAGUAAUUCGUGCAACUCAUACUAAAACAAUAACAAUACAUAAUAUCAAAGAACACAUUUGAUCUCUAAUAUUAAUUUCACUUAUUUAUCAGCUAAACAAAUUCACUAGGAUUAUUACCCCACUCACUCCCACCAGCCACCCAAUUAUCAGAAAAUCUAGGUAUAACUAUCCCACUAUCAGCAGGAGCAGUAAUUACCUGCUUUCACCACAAAACAAAGCAUUAUUAAUGGCUCACUUCCUACCACAAGGAACACCUUUCCACUUAUCCCCAUGCUAGUUAUUAUUGAAACUAUAAUAUUAGCCUUUUUAUUCAACCCACGGCCCUAGCAGUACAAUUAACAGCCAACAUUACAGUGGCUAUCUACCAUAUGCUUAAUCAGUGGAGCCACCUUAAUCCUAAUAUCCAUUUGCCCGGCAACAGCCUUAGUUACAUUUCUCAUUACUUAUCACUCCUGAAUUUACGGUUGCCCUAAUUCAGGCUAACAUCUUCAAGCUUCUAGUUAGGCUUUACCUAGAUGAUAAU